UGCAGUCGAACGAGACCUUCGGGUCUAGUGGCGCACGGGUGCGUAACGCGUGGGAACCUGCCUUUAGGUUCGGAAUAACUCAGAGAAAUUUGAGCUAAUACCGGAUAAUGUCUUCGGACCAAAGAUUUAUCGCCUUUAGAUGGGCCCGCGUAAGAUUAGCUAGUUGGUGGGGUAAUGGCCUACCAAGGCGACGAUCUUUAGCUGGUCUGAGAGGAUGAUCAGCCACACUGGGACUGAGACACGGCCCAGACUCCUACGGGAGGCAGCAGUGGGGAAUAUUGGACAAUGGGCGAAAGCCUGAUCCAGCAAUGCCGCGUGAGUGAUGAAGGCCUUAGGGUUGUAAAGCUCUUUUACCAGGGAUGAUAAUGACAGUACCUGGAGAAUAAGCUCCGGCUAACUCCGUGCCAGCAGCCGCGGUAAUACGGAGGGAGCUAGCGUUGUUCGGAAUUACUGGGCGUAAAGCGCACGUAGGCGGCUUUUUAAGUCAGGGGUGAAAUCCCGGGGCUCAACCCCGGAACUGCCCUUGAAACUGGGAAGCUAGAAUCUUGGAGAGGCGAGUGGAAUUCCGAGUGUAGAGGUGAAAUUCGUAGAUAUUCGGAAGAACACCAGUGGGCGAAGGCGACUCGCUGGACAAGUAUUGACGCUGAGGUGCGAAAGCGUGGGGAGCA
This 668-nucleotide ribosomal RNA is filed under the name bacterium SL4.44. Its description in RNAcentral is "bacterial SSU rRNA". It matches the Rfam family "Bacterial small subunit ribosomal RNA", at positions 56 to 770 of the family's 1533-position model. The record is from RNAcentral.